This 63-nucleotide transfer RNA is filed under the name Orithyia sinica. Its description in RNAcentral is "tRNA-Phe". The record is from RNAcentral. Lineage: Eukaryota; Metazoa; Arthropoda; Malacostraca; Decapoda; Orithyiidae.
GUUUAUAUAAUUUAUAAAGAAUAUCGUAUUGAAGCUGCGAAUGAGGCAUAAAGCCUGUAAACA